GUUCUUUGACUGCAAAUGAUGAACAAGAGCCAAUGAGAGCCAUGAGGCUCCAUAGCCACAGCGCCUGUAGCUGCCUGCAUUUAAUCUGACCUUUUCAGCACAGCAUGGAGAAUCACAAGAGUAAAUGAAGGAGCAAAUUAAGCUGCAUGGCUUUAGUAAAAAUAAUGAUCAGAUUUAAUCAGUAGUCAGGAGACAAAGGCAUUGCAGCUGAAUGUGGUGAGAAUUCUCUUUUUGAAAGGAAGAGGAGGGAGUAUUUUUUAAGGACUCCAUUGCCUUUUAGUUAAGAGGGAAGGAAAGGACAUCUCACCUGAGUGGAGUCGAGAGGAGAAAUGGAAGUGUUUGGAUCAGGAAAGGAUGGAAAAUGUAUCCACAGAAUAUGAGGAAUUGAUGAGCUAGCUGAGGAGCAAGAGGACUGAGCUACAGGGAUGGGAGAUACCCUUUAGAAUGACGCUUCAUG
Molecule: non-coding RNA, 457 nt
Organism: Pelodiscus sinensis (Chinese soft-shelled turtle)
Lineage: Eukaryota; Metazoa; Chordata; Testudines; Trionychidae
Source: RefSeq, a predicted model, not a curated record